This is a non-coding RNA of Pelobates cultripes (western spadefoot toad), 1349 nucleotides long. NCBI's taxonomy places the organism in Eukaryota, Metazoa, Chordata, Amphibia, Anura, Pelobatidae. The record is from the annotation of a GenBank genome assembly.
GGGAGUGGUCUGAGGAGGGGGUCACCCUCAAUAAGACCGGGAUGAGCGAUCAGUAAUGUCGGGACGUAGCCCGUGUAUGGGGAGGUAUGGUAGCCUCCAAAUUAUCCAAGGGGUCACCCUUAUUGGAUAUAGUACUGUGGAGAAUUGGCAGCACCGUGAGCUCUCCUUUUUGGCUCUGUCGAUAUACAUGUAUCCAGUGUGUCCCGGGCUGUGCAUACAGUAACAGAACGUACUCCGUGGAUAUGAGCCCGUCCUAGGGCGUGGGGGUCCCCCCCAGUAUAUGUAUGUCACUAGUACCGGAAUAAGAUUCGCUUGGGUUCACCCCAGUAUAUGUAUGUCACUAGGACAGGAACCAGAUUCGCUUGGGGAUCACCCAGCGUAAGGGGGGGAGUCAUCCCUGUACCACAAUGUCACUUUGGAGAGGUGUCUGCCACGCUUGGGGGUCACCCAGCGUAAGGGGGGUCACCGCUGUUAAUCACUCCGUUAUGUGCCUCCACUACUGUGUCCUGGGAGGUGUAUCCCUGUGGGGAAGGAGUGUAUUCAGUGGUUGUGAGGUCCAGUGGGAGUAGGGAGCUGAGUAAGUUAUCAGCUCUAUUUAAUUUCCCUGCCAGCAGAUAGAGUAAUGCAUCCACUAUAUGCCCACAGCAGGGAACAGUCCAUUCAUAAUCCUCCAGACGUACAAUAAAAAUGUUAUUCAACAUGUCAAUUGUAUAGAACAGAAUAGAGCAAACUGCCAGCAGACAUGAGUACUGCAUCCACUAUAUGCACUCAGCAGGGAUCAGUCCAUAUUCAUGCAGAGUUACAUAUAAAACUUUUUUUUUACAUGCCAAUGAAAUAUGACAGUAUAGAGCUGAGCAGUGAACAGUCCUUUCAUAAUCUUACAGAAAAGGUACAUAUAAAACCUUUAUUCCACAUGCCCAUGAGAUGUAUUAGUUUUGAGCUCAAAAGUACUUUUAUUUCGCAGGAAAAAUAUUUUAAACAGUACAGAUCUAGCUGCCAGUUCGUGGGAAUCACGAACUGGCUAAACGACAUGGCCGACGUGAGUCUCGCGAGUGCCGCGAGAUUCAAGAUUGCCGAUGUUCGCGCACAAAAGUGCCGUGUGGCCCGCCGGUAUGGAACAGAGUCCCCCCUGACACCCACAACCCCCAGAGACCUGCCCUGAAUUACCAGCCCCAGUAAAUAAAAAAACGAGAUUGCAGUAAAACGCUGCGAUCCGUGCGCGACCAGAGUAAAGCAUAGGAAAGAAAAGGUGCCAGCAACAGAAAACCAAACAGGCUAAUAAAGCAGAAAAUACGGGGGAAGUGUAACAGGGGGAGAAUAUCACACUACAGGGAGUGCAGAAUUAUUAG